RNAcentral lists this ribosomal RNA (507 nucleotides) under uncultured bacterium. RNAcentral describes it as "bacterial LSU rRNA". It matches the Rfam family "Bacterial large subunit ribosomal RNA", at positions 23 to 549 of the family's 2925-position model. The record is from RNAcentral.
GGUGGAUGCCUUGGCAGUUCAAGGCGACGAAGGACGUGGUCAGCUGCGAUAAGUUUCGGGGAGCCGCUAACAGGCUUUGAUCCGGAAAUUUCCGAAUGGGGAAACCCAGCAGGGUCUACCUGCUAACCCGAAAGGGUGGCCAACCCGGGGAACUGAAACAUCUAAGUACCCGGUGGAAUAGAAAUCAAACGAGAUUCCCCUGAGUAGUGGCGAGCGAAAUGGGAAUAGCCUAAACCGGUAGAGGAAACUCUAUCGGGGUUGUGGGGCUCGCGAUACGGCAUUCAGAAAGACUAGAUGAACGACAUUGAAAGGUCGGCCAUAGACGGUGACAGCCCGGUAAUCGAAAGUUCGACUGAGCCUAGCGAGUUCCCGAGUACCACAGGACACGUGUAAUCCGGUGGGGAAUCUGGGAGGACCAUUCUUCUAAGGCUAAAUACUUGAACUGACCGAUAGUGAACAAGUACCGCGAGGGAAGGCGAAAGAACCCUGACAGGGAGUGAAUAGAAU